Transfer RNA from Coccomyxa subellipsoidea C-169, 73 nucleotides. It matches the Rfam family "tRNA". From Rfam's summary of the family: Transfer RNA (tRNA) molecules are approximately 80 nucleotides in length. Their secondary structure includes four short double-helical elements and three loops (D, anti-codon, and T loops). The record is from Rfam. Lineage: Eukaryota; Viridiplantae; Chlorophyta; Trebouxiophyceae; Coccomyxaceae.
GUCGGCGUGGCGAAAUGGAUACCGCGUUUGCCUCCGAAGCAAAAGAUUCCGAGUUCGAGUCUCGGCGUCGACU